GUCUUGAAGUAAAAUUUUCAAGUCGAAUCUGCCCACUGAUUAAUUUUUAAGAGCCGCAAUAAUUUGUGCAAAGGUAGCAUAAUGGAUUGUCCUUUAAUUGAGGUCUGGAAUGAAAGAUUUAAUGGUCUCAAUAUUAUAAAAUUUAAAAUAUAAAAAUUUUAAUUUUUAAUUAGAAUGUUAAAAUUUUUUAGGGGGACGAGAAGACCCUAAGAUCUUUAUAAACUAUAUUAAAGAUAAUUUUUAGUUUAUUUAAUUGGGGAAAUUAGAAAAUGAAACUUUUUUGCUUUAUAAAUCAAUUUAAGUGAAUAAACAAAGAAUAAAAUUAAAACAAAUAAGUUACCUUAGGGAUAACAGCGUAAUAAUAAAUUAGAAGAUGAAAUUUAAAUUUAUGAUUUCGACCUCGAUGUUGAAUUAAGGUUUAUUUCAUUUAGUAGAAUUUAUGAAAUUUAGUCUGUUCGACUAUUCAACCUU
Molecule: ribosomal RNA, 471 nt
Filed under: Liposcelis corrodens
Lineage: Eukaryota; Metazoa; Arthropoda; Insecta; Psocodea; Liposcelididae
Description: partial 16S ribosomal RNA
Source: RNAcentral